UUACUGUGUGGGAGAAGGCUGCACAGUAACAAGCAAACUCUAAGAGGAGCAACCGUCUCCGGAACAACAAGAAGAAGAAGGGAGGAGGAGAGAAAACAUGGACACAUGGCUCUCUUUGGGAGGAAAUAAAGAAAUCCACUCAAAAUUGGACGGGUGCCACUGCUUCCAGCGUUCCGACAUCAACCUCCCGGGGGUUUCGGCGUGGCCAUGGAUUUGUCCCUGGCUUAGAAAGGCUGCGAGUGCCCCAUGCUGGGAAUACUACAUCCUGAAGAAGCUUCACUUCCGAUGAUGAGGCCAACAAACUGCUUACAAACGCUAAUAUCCAACAACAACACGGCACACGAGGCCUCCAGUGGCGUAACCGGAAAACCCAUCCGAGCCUCACCCCGGUGCACCGCUCCAAACUCCAAACGCUCAUCAUGCAAAUGCGCAGCCUGAGGCGAUGCAAAGGCAAAACAGCCACAGCGCAUCAGACGAUACAAUUCUGCAGAGUGAAGACACUACAAUUAACACCGUACUUAACAACGCUCCUGCAUCCCCCAGCAAAGGAGUGGGGGCUGUGAGAUAACCUUGUGCGGCUUUCAUGUUUGGACACGCUGGUUGGACAUCUAUGUUAUUUGCCCAGGAGGAAAUCAUUUACGUGGCGUCUGUGUGUGAUGAAAAUCGUUGAUGAUAAGGAGACUUAUGGCGAUUUGACAUGCCUCUGCUGUAGCCAGAGAAGGCUUUAUCAGCAUCGUGAACUGGGAUAAACCUGCGCCACUUCAUCAUGCGAGGGAACACCAGGUUCCCAAGUAGCUGGGCAAAUACAUUGAAGAUAACAACGACUGAAAUUAAUUAGGCCAGGAUUAACUGAGGAGAGAUAAUUAAAGUUCAUGGUAAACAAAGAGGGUUUUGUUUGCGGUGCUCACCAAGUGUAAGGUCUUAAAAACGUGCUAAACGCAUCUCAUAGCGAGUCAGCGCGGUUUGUCUUCAUCACCUCUAUUGGUGCAGCACUACAUCAACAGAACGGC
Long non-coding RNA from Gasterosteus aculeatus aculeatus (three-spined stickleback), 1010 nucleotides. The record is from Ensembl. Lineage: Eukaryota; Metazoa; Chordata; Actinopteri; Perciformes; Gasterosteidae.